RNAcentral lists this ribosomal RNA (164 nucleotides) under uncultured bacterium. Its description in RNAcentral is "partial 16S rRNA". It matches the Rfam family "Bacterial small subunit ribosomal RNA", at positions 355 to 511 of the family's 1533-position model. The record is from RNAcentral.
UAGGGAAUCUUCCACAAUGGGCGCAAGCCUGAUGGAGCAACACCGCGUGAGUGAAGAAGGGUUUCGGCUCGUAAAGCUCUGUUGUUAGAGAAGAACGUGCGUGAGAGCAACUGUUCACGCAGUGACGGUAUCUAACCAGAUAGUCACGGCUAACUACGUGCCAG